RNAcentral lists this ribosomal RNA (1552 nucleotides) under Streptococcus salivarius JIM8777. RNAcentral's name for it is "16S ribosomal RNA". It matches the Rfam family "Bacterial small subunit ribosomal RNA". Lineage: Bacteria; Bacillati; Bacillota; Bacilli; Lactobacillales; Streptococcaceae. The record is from RNAcentral.
AUUUUAAUGAGAGUUUGAUCCUGGCUCAGGACGAACGCUGGCGGCGUGCCUAAUACAUGCAAGUAGAACGCUGAAGAGAGGAGCUUGCUCUUCUUGGAUGAGUUGCGAACGGGUGAGUAACGCGUAGGUAACCUGCCUUGUAGCGGGGGAUAACUAUUGGAAACGAUAGCUAAUACCGCAUAACAAUGGAUGACACAUGUCAUUUAUUUGAAAGGGGCAAUUGCUCCACUACAAGAUGGACCUGCGUUGUAUUAGCUAGUAGGUGAGGUAACGGCUCACCUAGGCGACGAUACAUAGCCGACCUGAGAGGGUGAUCGGCCACACUGGGACUGAGACACGGCCCAGACUCCUACGGGAGGCAGCAGUAGGGAAUCUUCGGCAAUGGGGGCAACCCUGACCGAGCAACGCCGCGUGAGUGAAGAAGGUUUUCGGAUCGUAAAGCUCUGUUGUAAGUCAAGAACGAGUGUGAGAGUGGAAAGUUCACACUGUGACGGUAGCUUACCAGAAAGGGACGGCUAACUACGUGCCAGCAGCCGCGGUAAUACGUAGGUCCCGAGCGUUGUCCGGAUUUAUUGGGCGUAAAGCGAGCGCAGGCGGUUUGAUAAGUCUGAAGUUAAAGGCUGUGGCUCAACCAUAGUUCGCUUUGGAAACUGUCAAACUUGAGUGCAGAAGGGGAGAGUGGAAUUCCAUGUGUAGCGGUGAAAUGCGUAGAUAUAUGGAGGAACACCGGUGGCGAAAGCGGCUCUCUGGUCUGUAACUGACGCUGAGGCUCGAAAGCGUGGGGAGCGAACAGGAUUAGAUACCCUGGUAGUCCACGCCGUAAACGAUGAGUGCUAGGUGUUGGAUCCUUUCCGGGAUUCAGUGCCGCAGCUAACGCAUUAAGCACUCCGCCUGGGGAGUACGACCGCAAGGUUGAAACUCAAAGGAAUUGACGGGGGCCCGCACAAGCGGUGGAGCAUGUGGUUUAAUUCGAAGCAACGCGAAGAACCUUACCAGGUCUUGACAUCCCGAUGCUAUUUCUAGAGAUAGAAAGUUACUUCGGUACAUCGGUGACAGGUGGUGCAUGGUUGUCGUCAGCUCGUGUCGUGAGAUGUUGGGUUAAGUCCCGCAACGAGCGCAACCCCUAUUGUUAGUUGCCAUCAUUCAGUUGGGCACUCUAGCGAGACUGCCGGUAAUAAACCGGAGGAAGGUGGGGAUGACGUCAAAUCAUCAUGCCCCUUAUGACCUGGGCUACACACGUGCUACAAUGGUUGGUACAACGAGUUGCGAGUCGGUGACGGCAAGCUAAUCUCUUAAAGCCAAUCUCAGUUCGGAUUGUAGGCUGCAACUCGCCUACAUGAAGUCGGAAUCGCUAGUAAUCGCGGAUCAGCACGCCGCGGUGAAUACGUUCCCGGGCCUUGUACACACCGCCCGUCACACCACGAGAGUUUGUAACACCCGAAGUCGGUGAGGUAACCUUUUGGAGCCAGCCGCCUAAGGUGGGAUAGAUGAUUGGGGUGAAGUCGUAACAAGGUAGCCGUAUCGGAAGGUGCGGCUGGAUCACCUCCUUUCU